UCAGUAACACGGAUUUGUCAUGA
Molecule: microRNA, 23 nt
Filed under: Equus caballus (horse)
Lineage: Eukaryota; Metazoa; Chordata; Mammalia; Perissodactyla; Equidae
Description: eca-miR-9142
Source: miRBase by way of RNAcentral